This 337-nucleotide unclassified non-coding RNA is filed under the name uncultured fungus. Its description in RNAcentral is "partial contains 5.8S ribosomal RNA and internal transcribed spacer 2". The stretch from base 1 to 133 matches the Rfam family "5.8S ribosomal RNA", at positions 22 to 154 of the family's 154-position model. Lineage: Eukaryota; Fungi. The record is from RNAcentral.
UGGUUCUGGCAUCGAUGAAGAACGCAGCGAAAUGCGAUAAGUAAUGUGAAUUGCAGAAUUCAGUGAAUCAUCGAAUCUUUGAACGCACAUUGCGCCCUCUGGUAUUCCGGGGGGCAUGCCUGUUCGAGCGUCAUUUUCACCCCUCAAGCUCAGCUUGGUAUUGGGUACUCGUCUUCGCCCCCGGGUGAGGACGUACCUCAAAGUUAGCGGCGGUGCAGCCAGACUCUCUAGCGCAGUGACUUUUUACAACGCUACAUAGAGCUCUGGUUGGUUCUGGCCGGACAACAACCAAAUUUUUAUCACGAUUGACCUCGGAUCAGGUAGGGAUACCCGCUGA